CCUACGGGGGGCUGCAGUCGAGAAUCUUCGGCAAUGGGCGCAAGCCUGACCGAGCGACGCCGCGUGCGGGAUGAAGGUCUUCGGAUUGUAAACCGCUGUCGGAGGGGAUGAAGUGUACGGGGGCUAUCCCCUGUAUUUGACAGAGCCUCGGAGGAAGCACGGGCUAAGUUCGUGCCAGCAGCCGCGGUAAUACGAACUGUGCGAACGUUAUUCGGAAUCACUGGGCUUAAAGGGUGCGUAGGCGGUUUGUUAAGUCAGGUGUGAAAUCCCCCGGCUCAACCGGGGAACAGCGCUUGAAACUAGCAGACUAGAGUGAGGUAAGGGACCACGGAACUUCUGGUGGAGCGGUGAAAUGUGUAGAUAUCAGAAGGAACGCCGGUGGCGAAAGCGGUGGUCUGGGCCUUGUCUGACGCUGAGGCACGAAAGCUAGGGGAGCGAACGGGCUUAGAUACCCGGGUAGUC
This 462-nucleotide ribosomal RNA is filed under the name uncultured Planctomyces sp. RNAcentral describes it as "bacterial SSU rRNA". It matches the Rfam family "Bacterial small subunit ribosomal RNA", at positions 338 to 795 of the family's 1533-position model. The record is from RNAcentral. Lineage: Bacteria; Pseudomonadati; Planctomycetota; Planctomycetia; Planctomycetales; Planctomycetaceae.